ACCAGUAGCCAUAUCACCCUGCAACUUACAACUGGUAAACUGCUGCUAAGCAGGUGUGAGCCUGGUCAGUACCUGGAUGGAGACCUCCUGGGAAAAACUAAGGUUGCUGCUGGAA
This 115-nucleotide ribosomal RNA is filed under the name Lepisosteus oculatus (spotted gar). The record is from RNAcentral. Lineage: Eukaryota; Metazoa; Chordata; Actinopteri; Semionotiformes; Lepisosteidae.